This is a non-coding RNA of Acanthosepion pharaonis, 112 nucleotides long. Lineage: Eukaryota; Metazoa; Mollusca; Cephalopoda; Sepiida; Sepiidae. The record is from the annotation of a GenBank genome assembly.
ACGGCCAUGUCACGUUGAAACACCGGAUCCCGUACUAUCGCCGAAGUUAAGCAACGUCGAACGUGGCCAGUACCUAUAUGGAUGAACCCUUGGGAAUACCAGGUGCUGCAAG